UCAAUUUUCAUCAACCUGUUGUGAACACUACUUUUAAAUAAGUAAGUAGUAAUUUGGGGUUGGAGAACUUGCUUAACUUGAUAUAUCCCAGUUAAGUCAAAUUAGAAAAAAUAAUUUCUUGUACCCAGUGUCCUUUGGGCGUUCUAUCAGACAUGCGCAGAUCUGCCCUGCCCACUUUCGCGCUCUUUCCAACACCUUUCUCAGUUAUUUUCGCCAUUGUGGGUUUACUUGUCCUCAGUACACUGAUUUGGCACUGCUGCAAUCGUCACACUUUUUCUGUUACAAACUGACCCGGCCCCUCAUCAGAGAAGGGAAAAGUCAUGUGGCCUUCACAGGAAAAGGUUUGGGGACCCCUGCUUUAGAGUGUUUGUCAUCUGCCCUUCCAUUUGCUUUUCUUCAUGUGCAGUGCUCCCCCUCCAUGUUUGAUCAAACUGCACUGAUAAUUUGAAAUUGUUUUAAAAUGCAUUAAUCGCAAAAAUCAGAGGACUAGAUCACAUUUCCCCCUGUUAUUUCACCACUUUAACUUUGGUCUAACCUAAUAUAGGAAUACAGAUAGAAAGAGUGCAGAGAUCACACUCGACGCCAUAACAACCUGGUGUGUUUAAGGUUGGUCAUUUAUGUGCCUAUAUUUUGAAAUUGUUGCCUUAAUUUUGUGUUCUUUUUCACCAUCCCCCAAUCAGGCUGAAGCAAAUGGUCAAAAGUCCACACAUACCUCAGUCUCAGCAAUUACAGGUCAACCAAAGCAGUAUUCUCUAAUGCAGUGGACUUGCAAGUACUGCACAUUUUCUGCUGAAAAGAGCCUACUUGCUUAAGCAUUACCGCUUAAAACAUGGAUACCACACUCGGACAUCCCUACUCCCAUGUCUUCAUAAGGACUGCCUCUGCACAUUUAAAUCUUUUAAUGCACUCAAAGUACACCUAUCGACAUGGCACUCUCAAAAAGAUGCAGGCAAAAGUGGAGAAACUGCAUUUGACCGUCAGUUGUGCAACUUUGUGGAGCCCUGCUCAGAAGCAGACUUCUUUACCCAUUUGCGAGGACAUCUUAAGCUGAGGCAAAUGGUUACUUGCCCAUAUCAAGACUAACUUUCAGAGCAGUAUUUAUUCGACCUUCACUGCACACAAAAGCAAAGAAAUGUGAAAUGUGUUUGAGCCAUAGUGUGGGUAGGACAUUUGUGUCUAAAUCAUUCAAUCCCAAUAAAAGUUGCUUUAAUAAAAAAAAACUUAUUUUUAAUCAAAGAAAAAGAACCUUUUGCAAAAAUAUAUUUUUUUGAAAAUAUAUAUAUUUUUAAAUAUAUAUUUUUUUUAUUGACGUGUCACUUUUUUUUUAAAGGAAAAAGUUUAAAACUUUUUUUUUAAAGUGGAAAAAGUUUUGAACGCAUUUCUUUUUUUCUUUUUGAAGUGGAAAAGGUUUUAA
Corythoichthys intestinalis (scribbled pipefish) is the source of this 1414-nucleotide long non-coding RNA. RefSeq lists it as uncharacterized. Lineage: Eukaryota; Metazoa; Chordata; Actinopteri; Syngnathiformes; Syngnathidae. The record is from RefSeq and is a predicted model, not a curated record. The transcript is spliced from 3 exons.